GAGGCUGUAACAUCCCUGUCUAUCCUCUGUUGUAGAGAGACUGUAACAUCCCUGUCUAUCCUCUAUGUUGUAGAGAGCCUGUAACAUCCCUGUCUAUCCUCUGUUGUAGAGAGGCUGUAACAUCCCUGUCUAUCCUCUGUUGUAGAGAGGCUGUAACAUCCCUGUCUAUCCUCUGUUGUAGAGAGACUGUAACAUCCCUGUCUAUCCUCUGUUGUAGAGAGACUAACAUCCCUGUCUAUCCUCUGUUGUAGAGAGACUAACAUCCCUGUCUAUCCUCUAUGUUGUAGAGAGACUGUAACAUCCCUGUCUAUCCUCUAUGUUGUAGAGAGACUGUAACAUCCCUGUCUAUCCUCUAUGUUGUAGAGAGACUGUAACAUCCCUGUCUAUCCUCUAUGUUGUAGAGAGGCUGAUACAUCCCUGUCUAUCCUCUGUUGUAGAGAGACUGUAACAUCCCUGUCUAUCCUCUGUGUUGUAGAGAGACUGGUAACAUCCC
RNAcentral lists this long non-coding RNA (493 nucleotides) under Salmo salar (Atlantic salmon). RNAcentral's name for it is "lncRNA (ENSSSAG00000120326.1)". The record is from RNAcentral. Lineage: Eukaryota; Metazoa; Chordata; Actinopteri; Salmoniformes; Salmonidae.